This 376-nucleotide ribosomal RNA is filed under the name Elacatinus puncticulatus. RNAcentral describes it as "partial 12S ribosomal RNA". It matches the Rfam family "Bacterial small subunit ribosomal RNA", at positions 962 to 1527 of the family's 1533-position model. Lineage: Eukaryota; Metazoa; Chordata; Actinopteri; Gobiiformes; Gobiidae. The record is from RNAcentral.
CGUUCAACCCUCACCCUUCCUUGUCCUUUCCGCCUAUAUACCGCCGUCGCCAGCUUACCCUAUGAAGGUUAAAUAGUAAGCAAAAUUGGCACAACCCCAGUACGUCAGGUCAAGGUGUAGCUUACGGGAGGGGAAGCAAUGGGCUACAUUUACUGCCCCAGUAAAUACGGAUUUUGCUCUGAAAAGAGCACCUGAAGGAGGAUUUAGCAGUAAGAGAGGAGUACGAGCGCCUCUCUGAAACCGGCCCUAAAGCGUGCACACACCGCCCGUCACUCUCCCCAACGGCUAACCCCCAAUAAUAACUAAUAUAUUUCCGCCACAAAGGGGAGGCAAGUCGUAACAUGGUAAGCGUACCGGAAGGUGCGCUUGGAAAAAC